RNAcentral lists this ribosomal RNA (637 nucleotides) under uncultured archaeon. RNAcentral's name for it is "bacterial SSU rRNA". It matches the Rfam family "Archaeal small subunit ribosomal RNA", at positions 1 to 631 of the family's 1478-position model. The record is from RNAcentral.
UUCGCCCUUUUCCGGUUGAUCCUGCCGGAGGUUACUGCUAUCGGUGUUCGACUAAGCCAUGCGAGUCAAAUGUUCUUCGUGAACAUGGCGGACUGCUCAGUAACACGUGGAUAACCUGCCCUUAGGUUCGGCAUAACUCCGGGAAACUGGAGAUAAUUCCGAAUAGGUCAAAUAUGCUGGAAUGCUUUUUGGCCAAAAGACCUCGGUUGCCUAAGGAUGGAUCUGCGGUCUAUCAGGUUGUAGUGGGUGUAACGUACCUACUAGCCUACGACGGAUAUGGGUUGUGAGAGCAAGAGCCCAGAGAUGGAUUCUGAGACAUGAAUCCAGGCCCUACGGGGCGCAGCAGGCGCGAAAACUUUACAAUGCGGGAAACCGCGAUAAGGGGACACCGAGUGCCAGCAUUUAUGUUGGCUGUCCACAUGUGUAAACGGCAUGUGUUAGCAAGGGCCGGGCAAGACCGGUGCCAGCCGCCGCGGUAACACCGGCGGCCCGAGUGGUAAUCACUUUUAUUGGGUCUAAAGGGUCCGUAGCCGGUUUGAUCAGUUCUUCGGGAAAUCUGACAGCUCAACUGUUAGGCUUCCGGGGAAUACUGUCAGACUUGGGACCGGGAGAGGUAAGAGGUACUACAGGGGUAGGA